RNAcentral lists this ribosomal RNA (804 nucleotides) under unidentified. RNAcentral describes it as "bacterial SSU rRNA". It matches the Rfam family "Bacterial small subunit ribosomal RNA", at positions 31 to 817 of the family's 1533-position model. The record is from RNAcentral.
GAACGCUGGCGGCGUGCCUAAUACAUGCAAGUCGAGCGGACAGAUGGGAGCUUGCUCCCUGAUGUUAGCGGCGGACGGGUGAGUAACACGUGGGUAACCUGCCUGUAAGACUGGGAUAACUCCGGGAAACCGGGGCUAAUACCGGAUGCUUGUUUGAACCGCAUGGUUCAAACAUAAAAGGUGGCUUCGGCUACCACUUACAGAUGGACCCGCGGCGCAUUAGCUAGUUGGUGAGGUAACGGCUCACCAAGGCAACGAUGCGUAGCCGACCUGAGAGGGUGAUCGGCCACACUGGGACUGAGACACGGCCCAGACUCCUACGGGAGGCAGCAGUAGGGAAUCUUCCGCAAUGGACGAAAGUCUGACGGAGCAACGCCGCGUGAGUGAUGAAGGUUUUCGGAUCGUAAAGCUCUGUUGUUAGGGAAGAACAAGUACCGUUCGAAUAGGGCGGUACCUUGACGGUACCUAACCAGAAAGCCACGGCUAACUACGUGCCAGCAGCCGCGGUAAUACGUAGGUGGCAAGCGUUGUCCGGAAUUAUUGGGCGUAAAGGGCUCGCAGGCGGUUUCUUAAGUCUGAUGUGAAAGCCCCCGGCUCAACCGGGGAGGGUCAUUGGAAACUGGGGAACUUGAGUGCAGAAGAGGAGAGUGGAAUUCCACGUGUAGCGGUGAAAUGCGUAGAGAUGUGGAGGAACACCAGUGGCGAAGGCGACUCUCUGGUCUGUAACUGACGCUGAGGAGCGAAAGCGUGGGGAGCGAACAGGAUUAGAUACCCUGGUAGUCCACGCCGUAAACGAUGAGUGCU